RNAcentral lists this ribosomal RNA (501 nucleotides) under uncultured bacterium. Its description in RNAcentral is "partial 16S ribosomal RNA". It matches the Rfam family "Bacterial small subunit ribosomal RNA", at positions 29 to 523 of the family's 1533-position model. The record is from RNAcentral.
AUUGAACGCUGGCGGCAUGCCUUACACAUGCAAGUCGAACGGCAGCACGGGUGCUUGCACCUGGUGGCGAGUGGCGAACGGGUGAGUAAUACAUCGGAACGUACCUUAUCGUGGGGGAUAACGCAGCGAAAGCUGUGCUAAUACCGCAUACGCCCUGAGGGGGAAAGCGGGGGAUCGAAAGACCUCGCGCGACUAGAGCGGCCGAUGCCUGAUUAGCUUGUUGGUGGGGUAAAAGCCCACCAAGGCGACGAUCAGUAGCUGGGCUGAGAGGACGAUCAGCCACACUGGGACUGAGACACGGCCCAGACUCCUACGGGAGGCAGCAGUGGGGAAUGUUGGACAAUGGGGGCAACCCUGAUCCAGCAAUGCCGCGUGAGUGAAGAAGGCCUUCGGGUUGUAAAGCUCUUUUGUCAGGGAAGAAACACCGGCUCUAACACAGUCCGGGAAUGACGGUACCUGAAGAAUAAGCACCGGCUAACUACGUGCCAGCAGCCGCAGUAA